Molecule: ribosomal RNA, 497 nt
Filed under: uncultured bacterium
Lineage: Bacteria
Description: partial 16S ribosomal RNA
Rfam family: Bacterial small subunit ribosomal RNA
Source: RNAcentral
GAUGAACGCUGGCGGCGUGCCUAAUACAUGCAAGUCGAGCGAACGGACGAGAAGCUUGCUUCUCUGAUGUUAGCGGCGGACGGGUGAGUAACACGUGGAUAACCUACCUAUAAGACUGGGAUAACUUCGGGAAACCGGAGCUAAUACCGGAUGAUAUUUUGAACCGCAUGGUUCAAAAGUGAAAGACGGUCUUGCUGUCACUUAUAGAUGGGUCCGCGCUGCAUUAGCUGGUUGGUAAGGUAACGGCUUACCAAGGCAACGAUGCAUAGCCGACCUGAGAGGGUGAUCGGCCACACUGGAACUGAGACACGGUCCAGACUCCUACGGGAGGCAGCAGUAGGGAAUCUUCCGCAAUGGGCGAAAGCCUGACGGAGCAACGCCGCGUGAGUGAUGAAGGUCUUCGGAUCGUAAAACUCUGUUAUUAGGGAAGAACAUAUGUGUAAGUAACUGUGCACAUCUUGACGGUACCUAAUCAGAAAGCCACGGCUAACUACGUG